Molecule: RNase MRP RNA, 224 nt
Filed under: Phaseolus vulgaris (common bean)
Lineage: Eukaryota; Viridiplantae; Streptophyta; Magnoliopsida; Fabales; Fabaceae
Description: SRP RNA RNase_MRP
Rfam family: RNase MRP
About the family: RNase MRP is an enzymatically active ribonucleoprotein with two distinct roles in eukaryotes.
Source: Rfam by way of RNAcentral
GGAUUAUGAGGCGAUGUGAUUGGGCCCAUGCUAAUUGCUGGGCUCAGGAAAGUCCCCGGGCCUUCUCUGCAGCAAUGCAGGCCCUGUAAUGGGUAUCUUAGAGUUGGGAUUUGGGGCUGAGACACGUGUGGAGCCUAUGCAAUUCCCACCUGAGAAUUUGGCCGAUUCACAGUCAUUCACAUGGUCAACUUGACUAACCGAACGGGGCUUACGCCCUCGUAAUC